UAAGCAUAUCAAUAAGCGGAGGAAAAGAAACCAACAGGGAUUGCCCUAGUAACGGCGAGUGAAGCGGCAACAGCUCAAAUUUGAAAUCUGGCGUCUUUGGCGUCCGAGUUGUAAUUUGCAGAGGGCGCUUUGGCAUUGGCAGCGGUCCAAGUUCCUUGGAACAGGACGUCACAGAGGGUGAGAAUCCCGUACGUGGUCGCUAGCCUUUACCGUGUAAAGCCCCUUCGACGAGUCGAGUUGUUUGGGAAUGCAGCUCUAAAUGGGAGGUAAAUUUCUUCUAAAGCUAAAUACUGGCCAGAGACCGAUAGCGCACAAGUAGAGUGAUCGAAAGAUGAAAAGCACUUUGGAAAGAGAGUUAAAAAGCACGUGAAAUUGUUGAAAGGGAAGCGCUUGCAGCCAGACUUGCCUGUAGUUGCUCAUCCGGGUUUCUACCCGGUGCACUCUUCUAUAGGCAGGCCAGCAUCAGUUUGGGCGGUUGGAUAAAGGUCUCUGUCAUGUACCUCCUUUCGGGGAGAACUUAUAGGGGAGACGACAUGCAACCAGCCUGGACUGAGGUCCGCGCAUCUGCUAGGAUGCUGGCGUAAUGGCUGUAAGCGGCCCGUCUUGAAACAC
RNAcentral lists this ribosomal RNA (612 nucleotides) under Ascochyta medicaginicola. Its description in RNAcentral is "eukaryotic LSU rRNA". It matches the Rfam family "Eukaryotic large subunit ribosomal RNA", at positions 35 to 662 of the family's 3401-position model. Lineage: Eukaryota; Fungi; Ascomycota; Dothideomycetes; Pleosporales; Didymellaceae. The record is from RNAcentral.